AUUGAACGCUGGCGGCAGGCCUAACACAUGCAAGUCGAGCGGAUGAAGGGAGCUUGCUCCUGGAUUCAGCGGCGGACGGGUGAGUAAUGCCUAGGAAUCUGCCUGGUAGUGGGGGAUAACGUCCGGAAACGGGCGCUAAUACCGCAUACGUCCUGAGGGAGAAAGUGGGGGAUCUUCGGACCUCACGCUAUCAGAUGAGCCUAGGUCGGAUUAGCUAGUUGGUGGGGUAAAGGCCUACCAAGGCGACGAUCCGUAACUGGUCUGAGAGGAUGAUCAGUCACACUGGAACUGAGACACGGUCCAGACUCCUACGGGAGGCAGCAGUGGGGAAUAUUGGACGAUGGGCGAAAGCCUGAUCCAGCCAUGCCGCGUGUGUGAAGAAGGUCUUCGGAUUGGAAAGCACUUUAAGUUGGGAGGAAGGGCAGUAAGUUAAUACCUGGCUGUUUUGACGUUACCAGCAGAAUAAGCACCGGCUAACUUCGUG
RNAcentral lists this ribosomal RNA (484 nucleotides) under uncultured bacterium. RNAcentral's name for it is "partial 16S ribosomal RNA". It matches the Rfam family "Bacterial small subunit ribosomal RNA", at positions 30 to 507 of the family's 1533-position model. The record is from RNAcentral.